GAUGAACGCUGGCGGCGUGCCUAACACAUGCAAGUCGAGCGAACAGAUAAGGCUCUUGCUCCUUUCACGUUAGCCGCGCACGUGUGAGUAACGCGUGUAUCAUCUACCUAUCAGACUGGUAUAACUACGGAAAACCGGCGCUUAUGCCGUAUAACAUUUAGAACCGCAUGGUUCUAAAGUGAAAGAUGGUUUUGCUAUCACUUCUAGCUGGACCCGCGCGGGAUGAGCUAGUUGGUAGGGUCACGGCUUACCAAGGCUACGAUACGUAGACGACGUGAGAGAGUGAUAGGCCACACUAGAACUGAGACACGGUCCAGACUCCUACGGGAGGCAGCAGUAGGGAAUCUGAGGCAAUAGGCGAGAGCAUGACGGAGCGACGCCGAGUGAGUGAUGACGGUCUUCGGAUCGUAAUGCUCGGUUAUGAGGGGAGAACAGAUGUGGAAGUAGAUGUGCAGGUAUUGACGGUAACGAAUCAGAAAGCACCGGCUAACUACGUG
RNAcentral lists this ribosomal RNA (497 nucleotides) under uncultured bacterium. RNAcentral's name for it is "partial 16S ribosomal RNA". It matches the Rfam family "Bacterial small subunit ribosomal RNA", at positions 28 to 507 of the family's 1533-position model. The record is from RNAcentral.